CCACACUUGCAAUCAGUGGGGCAGUUCAAAAUGGGUCCCUCUCGAUGUAGAAGAAAUAGGGUUGGCAGCUAAGUAUUCUCUGUGAGGGGACAUUCUCUGUGUGGAACAGCCAUCAUCUGUCUGAAACAGCCCAAGUCUACUGACCUUCAGGACACAUUGAGAGAGCUUCUAGAAUCUUCCUCCAGCCUGUCUUGCCUGGCUUCCUACAAUGAAUAUGAAGAAAUGGUACAUACACAUCCUUACAGUCUCUUAGCUAUGUAUCUUGGGACACCUCUUCAUGAGGACUUUGUUCAUUUGAAGACAAGGAUUGGCAGACUGUCUGAAAAAUUAGUGAGUGUGGUGAAGAGAGAAGCAAUAGAUCUGCCACAUCUUCUACAAGGAAGUACAUCUCCUGUGUCUCAUUUUUCAAUUCUGGUUGAUAAUUUUAAUAAUUCUCGUGAAAGGAGUACACAAAAAUAUAAUGACAAUUUAAAUGACAUUGCUAUGUAAGAUAAAAGCUAUAUGAACCCGUACACUUUCAAAGCAUUGCAAAGGAUUUUAGCUGUAUGACAACUCAUUAAAAUCAACAGUCAUGUGCCUAAAGGCAUCCACACUGCUUUGAAAAUGUAGAUGAAUGAGUCUUAGACUUUGUUAAUCUGUGCUUUAGAAAUGCUGAUGUUCAAAACACAUUUAGUAGUUUAAAAAAUAUUGGAGAGUAUUUUCUAAAACUUUAGACAACACCUCUGAACAAAAAAAAAGAUACAGGAAAGGCUGGGAUGGAAGCAGUUUACAUUUCUGUUAGAAGAAACAGGUAAAAGAUAAACUCAUUAGCAGCUGUGAAAAAAUGUAGAUGUAUAUAUCAGAUAUUGAAAUGAAAUGAAAAUAACUUAAAGUUUGGAAAGGCUUUGAAGAUGAAAAAUGAUAUAUGGAUGCUAAAUGAUAUAAUUAGCAUCACUGUAUUAUCUGCUGUAGAUAAGUUUCAAGUUAAUUUCCAGCUCUCGAUACACAGUAGUUCAUUUAAGGCUUGAUCCAAAGGCUGUUGAAGUAAUUGGGAAUCUUCCCUUUAAUUUAGAAACUUUGCAUCAGGCUUUUAAGCUCUCAGGUUGCAUAAGUACGUAUUGGAUUUAUUCCACCUGAUCUAUGAACAUAAGCAUUGGACUUGAGAGCAGCCACACUAACAAGAACAGAAUAUUUUUAUAAGUGGAACAUUAACAUUGGUCAUGUGGAAUUAAAAGUUGUAGUUACUCCUUAUUGGGAGGAGCUAACUAAUCUCCUGUAGAGGUUGACCAGUGGACUGCAAGACUCUGUGCUGAACAAUGUAUUGUAGAGUGAGAAAUACCACAGAGAAAUAUAACUACAGUACAGUGCUAGUACUGUAAUGUAAUGCUAGACCCAAGUUCCAGAUCUGUAUGGGGACCUGUGCUGUUCAACCUAUUCAUAAAUGAUCUGGAAAAGUGGGUGAACAAUGAAGUGGCAAAAUUUGAAGAUGAUACAAAGUUACUCAAGAUAGUUAAGUUCAAAGCUGACUGUGAAGC
Molecule: long non-coding RNA, 1514 nt
Organism: Chrysemys picta bellii (western painted turtle)
Lineage: Eukaryota; Metazoa; Chordata; Testudines; Emydidae
Source: RefSeq, a predicted model, not a curated record